UACGUAGGUGGCAAGCGUUGUCCGGAAUUAUUGGGCGUAAAGAGCUCGUAGGCGGUUUGUCGCGUCUGCUGUGAAAGACCGAGGCUCAACUUCGGUUCUGCAGUGGGUACGGGCAGACUAGAGUGCAGUAGGGGAGACUGGAAUUCCUGGUGUAGCGGUGAAAUGCGCAGAUAUCAGGAGGAACACCGAUGGCGAAGGCAGGUCUCUGGGCUGUAACUGACGCUGAGGAGCGAAAGCAUGGGGAGCGAACAGG
Molecule: unclassified non-coding RNA, 253 nt
Filed under: uncultured Micrococcaceae bacterium
Lineage: Bacteria; Bacillati; Actinomycetota; Actinomycetes; Micrococcales; Micrococcaceae
Description: contains 16S-23S intergenic spacer region
Rfam family: Bacterial small subunit ribosomal RNA
Source: RNAcentral